Lucilia cuprina (Australian sheep blowfly) is the source of this 274-nucleotide long non-coding RNA. RefSeq lists it as uncharacterized. Lineage: Eukaryota; Metazoa; Arthropoda; Insecta; Diptera; Calliphoridae. The record is from RefSeq and is a predicted model, not a curated record. The transcript is spliced from 2 exons.
AUUUUUAAAAAACUUUUUAUAUAAAAAGAAUUUCAACAAAAAAAAAAGUGUGAAAAAAAAGAAGUGCAGGGAGAGUUUAUGGAAAUAGUGAACGAUCACCAACCAUAGUUAGUUUAAAACUAUUGUUUAAUAACAACAAAUCAACAAAAAAAAAAUCAUUAAAACAUCUAUCGAUCGAUCGACGCAAUCGUUUUGUGUUUUAUUACAUGUUUAUUUUUUUAACACUAACAACAACAAUAAUAAAAAAACGGUAGUAGUAGCAACAACAAAAAAC